CGGGAACACCCGCAGCUGCACAGCAGAACUGCAGAGACUUAGUGUGUCGUCAGCAAAUCGGAACGACGAAACAAAAGCCGGAUCGAGAAGUUCCCCGCCACGGAGCACACGGACCCGAACAUACAAAGUGCGGAAGAGAAAGACGCCAGACACAUUCAUUGGAAACCCCAAAAGGGGUUUUUGUUUUUCCUUUUCAUCCUAUUCUGCGGAAUCAGUCAUCGACGACUGACUAGAUCUUGGUCCAACCAUCUUCAACGUGGACGGUUCCCUUCUACUUGGAGGUUAAGCGCGACUACACGGCAGAACACGAGGAGGAACCGAAAUUAUUACACUGUGGUUCUGGAAGCCGGAUUGAUUAGCCGAGAUCGUGAGUCACACACCGACAUCGAUCGUAUUUCCGACGGAGGCGUUUGGAAUAGUGGCCUCGUGCGAGACACAGGAGUUUUGAUUGGUGCGAUGAGAUUGGGUGCGAGCGUGACGUCAUCGCACUGAUAGUGAGUGAUUUGCUGAUCGCAAGCCGGAGAGUAAUUGGUCUUCGUCGCGGAUCGAUCUCCGACCAGACAGGCGCUUGCGGCUUAAUUACCGUUGCGUUGCGCGCAGAAUAUUGGAGUAAGAGCCGUAGCGGGAUUGUGGACUGAGCGAUUUCGAGCUUCGGACGAUAGUUGUUGGCAGUGCUGACAAUGACAUCGGUCGGAUAAGGACGAUGGGGAUUCGAUCGUCCAGUGAGCAAGGCUUCGGUAC
This is a long non-coding RNA of Malaya genurostris, 741 nucleotides long. RefSeq lists it as uncharacterized. NCBI's taxonomy places the organism in Eukaryota, Metazoa, Arthropoda, Insecta, Diptera, Culicidae. The record is from RefSeq and is a predicted model, not a curated record. The transcript has 3 exons.